Molecule: non-coding RNA, 1196 nt
Organism: Paramuricea clavata
Lineage: Eukaryota; Metazoa; Cnidaria; Anthozoa; Malacalcyonacea; Plexauridae
Source: the annotation of a GenBank genome assembly
GUAACAAAGCAAGGUAUGGCUAAAUGAAAACUCAUUCAGCUGAUGCCUGAAAUGGCUAAAAUGGGCUGGCGUCAGUGGUGAAGCCAGCUCGACAAUUUGGCAUGCUAUGCAAAUAUUUCCAUGUUCAUAGACCGUGUCAGAACAAUCAAUUUCUAAAGAAAAGGAUUAAUAAUGAUUUAAAAUUUGCACAGCAUGACCAAAUCGUUGGACUGGCUUCGCCACUGCGGCUGGCGUUCAACUUGACCUGUGUCAGCAAACACCAACAUGGUCUCAGAUCAUCAUUUCCAGUGUGAGGUUUACAUGGAAUGCAGCCUGGCAUAUCAGUCAUUCCGAGGGUGGGGGAAUGGCAAAUUAGGCAGAGGUGUUGACAUUUUCAAAAGAAAUCCACACUCCAGACCCAAUAUACUGCAGAGUUGCGCACUUUCCAAUGAGAUGCUAACUUCAGAUGUGUUCAAAACAAUUCCCAAGUGUGCGUCAAAAGGCAUUCAGUCAAGGGCAUAUAUCCAGUUUGUACUGUACAUGAUGAACAGCAAAAAUUAGAGUUUUAAGGAGCUAGGCAGCUAGCCAUGGCAAUUGGUCAUAAACCUUUAAAUAGGUUAAAUACAAUUCUAAGGGUUUGAAUAAUGCAAAUCAUUAAAAAUUGGCAUAGCGUGACAUGUUGCUAUGGCUAGCUUUGCCACUGAAAAAUUGUUAUUAAAUUAAAGUAUGGCCUAGGUGCACUAAAAUUUCUGCCUAAAAAUACUGAGUACGAUGUUGACCAAGUCUGCAGACAGCUGACCCUAGGGAGAUGUCAUUAUAUUAUGGAGAGUCUCACUGUCGGAACACAAAUAACCUCAAAUGCAUAGAUACCUGCACACAGGGUUCAAGAUUUGCAGUAAUAUCCUGGUACACCUUUAUUUUCUUGAACUGUAAUACAAUGCAGCAUGGACCAGCUGAGAUGUGUUGUAGUAUACUAUAGUAUACUACAGACAGUAUAGUCCUCUCAGGUAUAAAAUUUAUGCCAUUAUCAAUACAAGCCCUGAAAAUGUUAUGAUACCAGUUUCAAAUGUUGGAUACUAGUUCACAUCUAUUCUCUAACCCUGUCUGUAUAUCGAAGCCAAAUUUUGUUUUUAUGUAAUUUAUUUAUUCUUAAUAAUUGAGAAGAUUUAAUCAAUGAGAUAAAAAAUGUCAUAUACUUUAAUUGUUAUUAAACUAAC